This 824-nucleotide small RNA is filed under the name Pyricularia oryzae. RNAcentral's name for it is "Magnaporthe oryzae sRNA M_BR32_EuGene_00111701". Lineage: Eukaryota; Fungi; Ascomycota; Sordariomycetes; Magnaporthales; Pyriculariaceae. The record is from RNAcentral.
UUAAAAUUUUAUUUUUCUAUUUUGCUUUUUUAUAUUAUUUAAAUAAUAUUAAUUAUUAUUAAUAAAUUUUAUACAAAUUAGAUAAUAAAUUAAACCUUAUCACGGGUAAAAAAUUGUUAAUUAUAUGCAUUAUUUUGCAAAUAAUAAGCCUACUUUUAUUUAUAUAUAGCCUAUAAUACAUAAUUCCGAAAUGGAAUAGUUGGAAUUCCGUUAAUUUAUUAAUUGCAGGAAUUGUAAUUUAAAAAUUAACGAAUGGAUUAAUUACCCUAUACCGGGUUUAAUACCCAUUUUAUAUCUGCAAAUUAAUUAUUUUGUACCGGGUUAAAAAAAAAAUUUUGCGUGCGAAUUUAAAAAUGGUUUGUUAGCAAAUAAAAAUGUUUUUUAACAAAUAUAUAUAAAUUAAUUUCUCGGAAAUUUAUAUGCGGUACCAGAAAUGUUUUUGGCGUGCCGACCCCAAUUUUGAUGUUGGAAAAUAUAUAAAAAAAUAAAACAAACUUUUUCUACCAAUAUAUUAGCGUCCAUUUGCGUAUAACGUUCCAUUUUAAUAUAUUUAGCGCUUUUUAAUAUUUGUUAGCAACGACGCCGUACCUAGGGUUUACCCCCUAAAUCCCCUGUAAUAACCCUAAAUAUUAAUAGGUAAUAUAUUAUUAUUUAAGUUUAUUUUAUUUAAAUUCUAAUUUUAAAUUAGUUUCCAUAUUUAUAUUUAUAAUAUAAGUUAGGAUAAAUCACGUGCGGGUUACGUGGGGCACCGCACGUAAAUUGUAAAUUCAAUUAAUAAAUUAAACGCGUUCCUUUUUAUUUUAACAAUUUCCAACUUAUUAAAA